This 23-nucleotide transfer RNA is filed under the name Geum waldsteiniae. RNAcentral's name for it is "partial tRNA-Phe". RNAcentral also lists the same sequence under 3 other names. The record is from RNAcentral. Lineage: Eukaryota; Viridiplantae; Streptophyta; Magnoliopsida; Rosales; Rosaceae.
UCGGGAUAGCUCAGCUGGUAGAG